CCUACGUGUGGCAGCAGUGGGGAAUAUUGCGCAAUGGGCGAAAGCCGGACGCAGCGACGCCGCGGGAGGGAUGAAGGUCUUCGGAUCGUAAACCUCUGUCAGCAGGGAAGAACGGUCACAGUGCUAAUCAGCAGUGAAUUGACGGUACCUGCAAAGGAAGCACAGGCUACCUCAGUGCCAGCAGCCGCGGUAAUACGGAGGGUGCGAGCGUUAAUCGGAAUUAAUGGGCGUAAAGCGCUCGUAGGCGGUAUGUCAAGUCAAGGGUGAAAUCCCCGCGCUCAACGUGGGAACUGCCUUUGAAACUGGCAAACUGGAGUGUGUGAGCGGAUAGUGGAAUUCCAGGUGUAGGAGUGAAAUCCGUAGAUAUCGUGAGGAACAUCAGUGGCGAAGGCGACUAUCUGGCACAUAACUGACGCUGAGGAGCGAAAGCGUGGGUAGCAAACAGGAUUAGAUACCCCAGUAGUC
RNAcentral lists this ribosomal RNA (465 nucleotides) under uncultured bacterium. RNAcentral describes it as "partial 16S ribosomal RNA". It matches the Rfam family "Bacterial small subunit ribosomal RNA", at positions 338 to 795 of the family's 1533-position model. The record is from RNAcentral.